GUGCCAGCCGCCGCGGUAAUACGGGGGGUGCAAGCGUUACUCGGAAUCACUGGGCGUAAAGCGAGCGCAGGCGGAUAGAUAAGUUGGAAGUGAAAUCCUAUGGCUUAACCAUAGAACUGCUUCCAAAACUGUUUAUCUAGAAUAUGGGAGAGGUAGAUGGAAUUUCUGGUGUAGGGGUAAAAUCCGUAGAGAUCAGAAGGAAUACCGAUUGCGAAGGCGAUCUACUGGAACAUUAUUGACGCUGAGGCUCGAAAGCGUGGGGAGCAAACAGGAUUAGAUACCCUGGUAGUCCACGCCGUAAACGAUGUCAACUAGCCGUUGGGACUCUUGAAGUCUUAGUGGCGCAGCUAACGCACUAAGUUGACCGCCUGGGGAGUACGGCCGCAAGGUUAAAACUCAAAGGAAUUGACGG
Molecule: ribosomal RNA, 412 nt
Filed under: uncultured bacterium
Lineage: Bacteria
Description: bacterial SSU rRNA
Rfam family: Bacterial small subunit ribosomal RNA
Source: RNAcentral